GGGUGACGAGCGGCGGACGGGUGAGUAAUGUCUGGGAAACUGCCUGAUGGAGGGGGAUAACUACUGGAAACGGUAGCUAAUACCGCAUAACCUCGCAAGAGCAAAGAGGGGGACCUUCGGGCCUCUCGCCAUCAGAUGUGCCCAGAUGGGAUUAGCUAGUAGGUGAGGUAAUGGCUCACCUAGGCGACGAUCCCUAGCUGGUCUGAGAGGAUGACCAGCCACACUGGAACUGAGACACGGUCCAGACUCCUACGGGAGGCAGCAGUGGGGAAUAUUGCACAAUGGGCGCAAGCCUGAUGCAGCCAUGCCGCGUGUGUGAAGAAGGCCUUCGGGUUGUAAAGCACUUUCAGCGGGGAGGAAGGCGGUGAGGUUAAUAACCUCAUCGAUUGACGUUACCCGCAGAAUAAGCACCGGCUAACUCCGUGCCAGCAGCCGCGGUAAUACGGAGGGUGCAAGCGUUAAUCGGAAUGACUGGGCGUAAAGCGCACGCAGGCGGUCUGUUAAGUUGGAUGUGAAAUCCCCGGGCUUAACCUGGGAACUGCAUUCAAAACUGACAGGCUAGAGUCUUGUAGAGGGGGGUAGAAUUCCAGGUGUAGCGGUGAAAUGCGUAGAGAUCUGGAGGAAUACCGGUGGCGAAGGCGGCCCCCUGGACAAAGACUGACGCUCAGGUGCGAAAGCGUGGGGAGCAAACAGGAUUAGAUACCCUGGUAGUCCACGCUGUAAACGAUGUCGAUUUGGAGGUUGUGCCCUUGAGGCGUGGCUUCCGGAGCUAACGCGUUAAAUCGACCGCCUGGGGAGUACGGCCGCAAGGUUAAAACUCAAAUGAAUUGACGGGGGCCCGCACAAGCGGUGGAGCAUGUGGUUUAAUUCGAUGCAACGCGAAGAACCUUACCUACUCUUGACAUCCAGAGAACUUAGCAGAGAUGCUUUGGUGCCGUACGGGAACGUGCAGACAGGUGCUGCAUGGCUGUCGUCAGCUCGUGUUGUGAAAUGUUGGGUUAAGUCCCGCAACGAGCGCAACCCUUAUCCUUUGUUGCCAGCGAUUCGGUCGGGAACUCAAAGGAGACUGCCGGUGAUAAACCGGAGGAAGGUGGGGAUGACGUCAAGUCAUCAUGGCCCUUACGAGUAGGGCUACACACGUGCUACAAUGGCGUAUACAAAGAGAAGCGACCUCGCGAGAGCAAGCGGACCUCAUAAAGUACGUCGUAGUCCGGAUUGGAGUCUGCAACUCGACUCCAUGAAGUCGGAAUCGCUAGUAAUCGUAGAUCAGAAUGCUACGGUGAAUACGUUCCCGGGCCUUGUACACACCGCCCGUCACACCAUGGGAGUGGGUUGCAAAAGAAGUAGGUAGCUUAACCUUCGGGAGGGCGCUUACCACU
RNAcentral lists this ribosomal RNA (1379 nucleotides) under Pectobacterium brasiliense. RNAcentral describes it as "bacterial SSU rRNA". It matches the Rfam family "Bacterial small subunit ribosomal RNA", at positions 86 to 1461 of the family's 1533-position model. Lineage: Bacteria; Pseudomonadati; Pseudomonadota; Gammaproteobacteria; Enterobacterales; Pectobacteriaceae. The record is from RNAcentral.